UAUUUAUUGGUGUAAAGGCAUAGAAAAUUUUGAUUUUUCAGGGUGUAGUGUAAUUCUACAAUAAAUAA
This 68-nucleotide transfer RNA is filed under the name Scyra compressipes. RNAcentral's name for it is "tRNA-Gln". The record is from RNAcentral. Lineage: Eukaryota; Metazoa; Arthropoda; Malacostraca; Decapoda; Pisidae.